This 492-nucleotide ribosomal RNA is filed under the name uncultured bacterium. RNAcentral's name for it is "partial 16S ribosomal RNA". It matches the Rfam family "Bacterial small subunit ribosomal RNA", at positions 29 to 507 of the family's 1533-position model. The record is from RNAcentral.
AGUGAACGCUGGCGGUAGGCCUAACACAUGCAAGUCGAACGGCAGCACAGUAAGAGCUUGCUCUUACGGGUGGCGAGUGGCGGACGGGUGAGGAAUACAUCGGAAUCUACUUUUUCGUGGGGGAUAACGUAGGGAAACUUACGCUAAUACCGCAUACGACCUACGGGUGAAAGCAGUGGAUCUUCGGACCUUGCGCGAUUGAAUGAGCCGAUGUCGGAUUAGCUAGUUGGCGGGGUAAAGGCCCACCAAGGCGACGAUCCGUAGCUGGUCUGAGAGGAUGAUCAGCCACACUGGAACUGAGACACGGUCCAGACUCCUACGGGAGGCGGCAGUGGGGAAUAUUGGACAAAGGGCGCAAGCCUGAUCCAGCCAUACCGCGUGGGUGAAGAAGGCCUUCGGGUUGUAAAGCCCUUUUGUUGGGAAAGAAAAGCAGCAGGUUAAUACCCCGCUGUUCUGACGGUACCCAAAGAAUAAGCACCGGCUAACUUCGUG